This 1526-nucleotide long non-coding RNA is filed under the name Capra hircus (goat). RNAcentral describes it as "lncRNA (ENSCHIG00000000671.1)". The record is from RNAcentral. Lineage: Eukaryota; Metazoa; Chordata; Mammalia; Artiodactyla; Bovidae.
AAAAAGAACACCAGAGGCAACCUUGAAAGCACAGUGUGUGCGGAGCACAGGGAAGUAUGUAUGCAGCAGCAUCCACUCCUCGCCUUCCCAGUGGCGGUCAGAGAGUGAUGCCGAAGCUGAAGCUGUGUAUAUCGGUUACUGAGGUUUUGUUGCCACCUCCUGUCAGGACUUCCCAGGUCACGCAGUGGUAAAGAAUCCGCCUGCCAAUUCAGGAGCUGCAGUAUUCAAGCACGGUUAUAUUGAAGAAGAUAUUCCAAAACUACCCUCCUCUCUCCUCCCACCUUCAAGUCCUUUCCUGUUCUGCGAGCUGGAACCUAGAAGGGGUGGAUUCUCUACUGUCUGAGCCAUGAAGCUCAUGGAAAUGCCUGCUCUCCUGGCCCAGCUGCUGCAGGAGUCAAUGUACCAGGAGAAGCAGCUUCUCCUCCAGUGUUUUGGAGAGUGUUCCUGCUCAGUGAGCUGUGUCUGCAAGAUGCUUGUCUUCUUUUCUGAAGUCAGGAUAGAGGCAGAUUUAUGGGAGUUAAAAUGGCACCUGUGACUCAUAAACCAGGGUUCACAGCAUGGAAGGAUUAAAGUUCUUCUUUUCCAUGUUUAAGCUGAUGAUGUUUUGUUCUUGAGUCAGGAACCUCUGCUGCCCUGCAAAACCUCCUAUAAAAUCCUUGAUGGUUGUUAAGUCUCCCUGGAAGUUCUUUCUUCUGUCCUCAGUUCUGCAGCCGUGUCUUUACUCUGAGUAAUGGUUUAGUAGGAUCAUUCCCUUUCUUAUUCAGCAAUUUUAAUUUUGCCCCCCCUUUUUGUGAAAUUUCUGCAACAACUGCAGAUACAACCUGAACACUGGUCUCCUAUGUUAUAGAAAUGUAGAUGUCAAGUUCUGCUAUCAAAAGGAGCAAGCCUAUAGACAGAUCCUGGAUAGCUGGGUGCAGGGUUAUUACUGAAAAUAUGAGCUCACUACUGACUCUAAUGGAUUCUUAGCCUUGCUUUGUUCCUGGGUUUUCGUCAUGAUCUUAAUAACCAUCAUGUGAUGAUAUUACUUUAGAGGAGGAAAAGAGGACUUUUCAAAAUUGUGAGCAAAGUCAGUGUCAGAAUCUCUUGUUAUUGACCCUGUCAUCUUUCUACAAUCAGAAACAGCUCCAGUAUCUUACUCUUUAAUAGUUUCAUUCUGUUUAAGCACAACCUUGAGAAUCUCUCUUUGCCUCCAAGCCGGAAGCUAUGGAGGAUUGCUUAGGUUUCCAGUGUUGCUCAGGUAUGGUAGGAAGGCUGGUAUCAUGGUGAUAUUGGCAGAAGGGGCAAAUUGAACUCAUUUAAUAUGUAAGAUGGUUUGCACCUUGGAUUGAGGAUGGUAUGUUUUAAAAUGGAUAAAUGUAUGGGUGAACCUAUGGUUGAUUUGUGUUGGUGUUUGGUAGAAACCAACAUAGUACUGUAAAGCAAUUAUCCUUCAAUUAAAAAUAAAUAAAUUAAAAAAACUUGGAAAUGGAGCUGAAAACACUCACAAAUACAGUUGUCAAAUAUUGAAGUAGAAAAUUCUAACAUGC